Molecule: ribosomal RNA, 486 nt
Filed under: uncultured bacterium
Lineage: Bacteria
Description: bacterial SSU rRNA
Rfam family: Bacterial small subunit ribosomal RNA
Source: RNAcentral
UAGCGACAGGCCUAACACAUGCAAGUCAGGGGCAGCACAAGGAGCAAUCUGAGGUGGCGACCGGCGCACGGGUGAGUAACACGUAUGCAACCUGCCUGUAAGCGGGGAAUAACCCGUUGAAAGACGGACUAAUACCGCAUAAUACUAAAUUACUGCAUGGUAAUUUAUUUAAACAUUUAUGGCUUACAGAUGGGCAUGCGCAUGAUUAGCUAGUUGGAGAGGUAACGGCUCCCCAAGGCAACGAUCAUUAGGGGUUCUGAGAGGAAGGUCCCCCACACUGGUACUGAGACACGGACCAGACUCCUACGGGAGGCAGCAGUGAGGAAUAUUGGUCAAUGGACGAGAGUCUGAACCAGCCAAGUCGCGUGCAGGAAGAAUGUCCCUAUGGAUUGUAAACUGCUCUUGCAGGGGAAUAAAGUGCAUCACGUGUGAUGUUUUGUAUGUACUCUGCGAAUAAGGAUCGGCUAACUCCGUGCCAGCCGCGGC